This is a long non-coding RNA of Rhipicephalus sanguineus (brown dog tick), 428 nucleotides long. RefSeq lists it as uncharacterized. The record is from RefSeq and is a predicted model, not a curated record. The transcript has 2 exons. NCBI's taxonomy places the organism in Eukaryota, Metazoa, Arthropoda, Arachnida, Ixodida, Ixodidae.
CAAAAAGGUUCAAACAAGGCUUCAGGGCAUGGAAGCACGACUAGAAACGGAUCAUCCGAUUUAAAACAAUAGCAAGUUAGUUGGGACUGGUAACUAACCUGCAGAAUGAAGAACAGCGUAGGUGGGGCUGUCGAUGUUCCUGCAGCUGCCACGUGUUGAGGUAGAGCAAGAUAAGGCAGGAAACCUUGAAGCUGGUCGUGCCGGCAGGAAUGCAGCCACUCUAAUCCAGUUGAAGUGGCAUCGCUGGACGCUUCCGAGGCUGUAGGUCCAGUGGCGAAUGCACCGGCUAAUGGCACUUGCGAACAGUUUCCGCAGCCAGCAGCACCAAAGAUGAACUGCAGAAUGAAGAACAGCGUAGGUGAGCCUCCCAUCGCUAUGAUGCUUCCAUGCCCAUUGAGCGGCGACUGCGCAGCACUCGGUUUUAAACG